UUUAUUUCCCGCCAGUCAGCUGAAAAAAAUAAAAGAAUCUCUAGUUCAGUUUUCCACAUAAUUAAAACAAGAAGAAACUCUCAAGCCGCCUUAACUUACACAGCGGGCCCCAUGCCUGGCGCUGGGAGGAAUGGCGAGGCUGUCCUGUCCCUAGGGCAGAGGGCUUGCGGGGCUGAGCACCUGAGCACAAGUACUUCGUGGUCAAGAGUGUUCCACAUUGCUGACAUUCAGCUCAGCCUCAGAAGCACCCUUGACAACUACCGAUGGCCACAGCCAAAUGGUUACCUGUAAAGUGGCCACUGCACCGUUUUCAGACAUGACAACACGAUUGCUGGACCCUGAAGACAUCUUAGCUGGUGACCUACAAACAUCUGCUUGCAGGAUCUUCUUGGAGCAAGCCUUAGACAUCCAGGAAGUAGCAGGAGCCCCAAGGUUCAGUUUCUCAAGAGCACCAAGUAGGUGCACGGCAGGGGAAGCAAUGCCUUGUGUUUCACACACAGGGUAUCUUCUCCUCUAUCUACUAUUAAACCUGGUUAAGAGC
Molecule: long non-coding RNA, 541 nt
Filed under: Heterocephalus glaber (naked mole-rat)
Lineage: Eukaryota; Metazoa; Chordata; Mammalia; Rodentia; Bathyergidae
Description: lncRNA (ENSHGLG00100051987.1)
Source: RNAcentral